This 73-nucleotide non-coding RNA is filed under the name Tropicimonas sediminicola. Its description in RNAcentral is "Tropicimonas sp. M97 Singlet oxygen resistance RNA X". It matches the Rfam family "Singlet oxygen resistance RNA X". From Rfam's summary of the family: SorX (RSs2461)like SorY is a singlet oxygen induced sRNA that counteracts oxidative stress by targeting mRNA for a transporter in Rhodobacter. It also has an impact on resistance against organic hydroperoxides. Lineage: Bacteria; Pseudomonadati; Pseudomonadota; Alphaproteobacteria; Rhodobacterales; Roseobacteraceae. The record is from Rfam by way of RNAcentral.
CCCCUUGUCGCGUCGGGGUGAUGGCGCGGCACCUCCCUGUUGGACUGGCCCGGGCUUCGGCCCGGGUCUUUUU